Molecule: non-coding RNA, 515 nt
Filed under: Gongylonema pulchrum
Lineage: Eukaryota; Metazoa; Nematoda; Chromadorea; Rhabditida; Gongylonematidae
Description: Eukaryotic small subunit ribosomal RNA
Rfam family: Eukaryotic small subunit ribosomal RNA
Source: Rfam by way of RNAcentral
UCCCCGAUUGAUUCUGUCGGCGGUUAUAUGCUUGUCUCAAAGGCUAAGCCAUGCAUGUCUAAGUUCAAGCGUUCCUAAAAUGGUGAAACCGCGAACGGCUCAUUAUAACAGCUAUAAUGUACUUGAUCUUGAUUAUCCAACGUGGAUAACUGUGGUAAUUCUAGAGCUAAUACAUGCACCAAAGCUCCGACUUAUGGACGAGCGCAUCUAUUAGAUUAAAACCAAUCGGGGCAACCCGUUCAUUGGUGACUCUGAAUAGCUCAAGCUGAUCGCAUGGUCUUGCACCGGCGACGUAUCUAUCAAGUGUCUGCCUUAUCAACUUUCGAUGGUAGUUUAUGUGCCUACCAUGGUUGUAACGGGUAACGGAGAAUAAGGGUUCGACUCCGGAGAGGGAGCCUGAGAAACGGCUACCACAUCCAAGGAAGGCAGCAGGCGCGCAAAUUACCCACUCUCAGCAUGAGGAGGUAGUGACGAAAAAUAACGAGACCGUUCUCUUUGAGGCCGGUUAUCGGAAU